RNAcentral lists this ribosomal RNA (774 nucleotides) under uncultured Neocallimastigales. RNAcentral describes it as "partial large subunit ribosomal RNA". It matches the Rfam family "Eukaryotic large subunit ribosomal RNA", at positions 24 to 627 of the family's 3401-position model. The record is from RNAcentral. Lineage: Eukaryota; Fungi; Neocallimastigomycota; Neocallimastigomycetes; Neocallimastigales.
UAUCUCUGUAGAGUCUGCAUAUCAAUAAGCGGAGGAAAAGAAACUAACAAGGAUUCCCCUAGUAACGGCGAGUGAAGCGGGAAGAGCUCAAAUUUGAAAUCUUCAAGGUUUUACCUUGACGAAUUGUAGUUUAAAGAAGUGUUUUCGGUUAGAGGAGUAGUAAAAGUUCUUUGGAAUAGGACAUCAUAGAGGGUGAGAAUCCCGUAUUUGACUAUUCUUUCUAGCUUUGUGAUACACUUUCAAAGAGUCGGAUUGUUUGGGAAUGCAGCCCAAAAUGGGUGGUAAAUUUCAUCUAAAGCUAAAUAUUGGCGAGAGACCGAUAGCGAACAAGUACCGUGAGGGAAAGAUGAAAAGAACUUUGAAAAGAGAGUUAAACAGUACGUGAAAUUGUCAAAAGGGAAGCGUUUGACACCAGUGUUGUUUUCUCGAAAAUCAAUUAAAAAUGGCUUGAUUUUGUGUUGUAUUGACCUUAAAAGCUUUCUUCACUUUUUUCAUGUCUUUUUUAAUGCACUUUUCGUUUAACAAGUCAACAUCAGUUUCUUUUGUUGUAAAAAGGUCAUUGGAAGGUGGCUUUCUUUUCGGAGAAAGUGUUUAUGGCCCUUGACUCCUGCAAUCGGAGAGACUGAGGUCUGCAGCGUAGAUCCUUCUGGAUUAGAUUCACUUGUGCUAAGUUAUAGCUUUUCAUAGACAACUUGUUGACUAUGUUUAGUCUUGUAGCUUACUCGCUUGUGUAAUUUUACCUACGCUUAGGAUGUUGAUGUGAUACUGCGAGCA